This 253-nucleotide ribosomal RNA is filed under the name uncultured bacterium. RNAcentral's name for it is "partial 16S ribosomal RNA". It matches the Rfam family "Bacterial small subunit ribosomal RNA", at positions 524 to 776 of the family's 1533-position model. The record is from RNAcentral.
UACGUAGGGUGCGAGCGUUAAUCGGAAUUACUGGGCGUAAAGCGUGCGUAGGCGGUUCGUUAAGUGCGUCGUGAAAGCCCCGGGCUCAACCUGGGAAUUGCAUUCGAGACUGCAUGGCUAGGAUGCGGAAGAGGGAAGCGGAAUUUCCGGUGUAGCGGUGAAAUGCGUAGAUAUCAGGAGGAACACCAAUAGCGAAGGCAGCUCGCUGGAACGUAACUGACGCUAAGACGCGAAAGCGUGGGGAGCGAACAGG